GGUCUGUGUUUGCCUGGGAGGCAACAUCCCGCAUCUCACCACGUGUCAGAGGUGACUGUUUAACGCCAGCGAAAGGAAACAGACUUCACGCCGCACGGAGCUGAAGGAAACCAACCAAGAGCCACUCAAAACUUGGGCUUUGGCUGACGGAGGGCGAGGCGGAGGAGCAGCACGUCCAGCGUGUGACAAAAUCUGUCCUCUCCCUUUGCGGGAGACGUGCUUGGAGCUCAGAUAGAUGCCAACUUGGCCAACACCUUCCAGGGGACAGGUUGAGGGCAGACGUCCUGGGCUGGAGUUCCCACACCCUGGGGGCCCCAAGACUGGCCAUGGGAUUUAGUGUGAGUCCCUGACCUCUCUGAGCUUCAGCUUCCAUCUCUGAGAUAAAAGGAUGGGAACCCCUCACGCUCUCGUGUGGAGGCUGAAAGGGUGAAAUGAGUCAGGGUCCUGCUCUCUCUCCUUGUUUAUUCACUGCGCAGGUGAGACACUUGGGCAUAGCGAUGGCUGUGAGAGUGGUUUCUAGGGAGAAAGAACAUUUUUUCUGUCAGUUCUCUCACAGGCAGCCUCCUGUCUGGACUCUUGGUGUUGGGGGGAAGCAUGAAACUUCAGGGAUGGAUGCAGGUGUUAACAAGCUUCCCAGGGUAGCUUGGGAGCCACUCCAUGCAGGCUGUGGGAAAGUGCACCCCUGUUUCCAGGAGUUGCACCCAACAAAGUUACCAAAAACCUCUUGACCCACAUCUGCUAGUUGAAGGUUCGUACCAACUAAUUAGCCAGGCAACACCAUUGCUUUGGAUUUGCAAAUCUGCCUUCUGCAUUUGAACAUGCAGUUGUUGGGAUUUGUUUUCUGAAAUAUGUGCAUGUGCAUGUGCAUGUGCACGUGGUGAGGAUGGAUGUAAAAACACACCGGUCUUAGGUAUCGUCUAUUCUUGGAAAUGCGAAAGCCGUCUCCCCAGGGAAGCCAGCAGCAGCCAAGGCAGAUCCCAGAUCUAAGGGUCUGAAUCCCAGCUCUGCCCUUGACUAGAUGGGUACUCAGAGUAAAUUUCUUGAUGUCUCUCA
Molecule: long non-coding RNA, 1053 nt
Organism: Camelus dromedarius (Arabian camel)
Lineage: Eukaryota; Metazoa; Chordata; Mammalia; Artiodactyla; Camelidae
Exons: 2
Source: RefSeq, a predicted model, not a curated record